AAGGAGUCUAACAUCUCUGCGAGUAUUUGGGUGUCAAACCCGAGUGCGCAAUGAAAGUGAACGUCUGAGCCACGCGCAAGCUGCAGCUUCGACCUGUCUGGAUCUUUAGUGAUGGAUUUGAGUAAGAGCAUAUAUGUUGGGACCCGAAAGAUGGUGAACUAUGCCUGAAAAGGGCGAAGCCAGAGGAAACUCUGGUGGAGGCUCGUAGCGAUUCUGACGUGCAAAUCGAUCGUCAAAUUUGGGUAUAGGGGCGAAAGACUAAUCGAACCAUCUAGUAGCUGGUUCCUGC
This 289-nucleotide unclassified non-coding RNA is filed under the name uncultured fungus. RNAcentral's name for it is "partial contains 5.8S rRNA, ITS2 and 28S rRNA". It matches the Rfam family "Eukaryotic large subunit ribosomal RNA", at positions 668 to 961 of the family's 3401-position model. Lineage: Eukaryota; Fungi. The record is from RNAcentral.